AUAAACUCUAAGAGAAAUCUAGUAAUAAACAAAGUGAAUUGAAAUAUCUUAUUAACUUUAGGAAAAUAAAUCAAACGAGAUUCUAUGAUUAGUGUGAACUAAAAUAGAGUAGCCUGUAAAUAAGUAGACUGAAAUAUAAAUUUGCUUGAAUAUAGGGGAACCUUCCUCUAAGGCUAAAUAUAAUAUAUAAGCAAUAGCGUAUAGUACCGUGAGGGAAAAUUUUGAAAGAGUAAUUUUAUAAGCAGCUCGAGUUAAAUUUAAAUAAAUAAUAAGAGUGUACCUUUUGCAUAAUGGGUCAGCAAGUUAAUAUUAGAUGCGAGCAUUUUUAAAUUAUCUAAUGCAUUAUUAAUUUAGCAUAGAUAAAAAUAAAUUGCCCAGAUAAACCAAUUAUUAAAUAAUGAGUAAGUAUCUAAAAUUAGACCCGAAAGCUAGUGAUCUUACCAUGAUCAGGGUUAUAAAAGCCCGAACGGGUUAUCGUUGUAUAGAUAUCCGAUGAAUUGUGGUAAGUAAGUGAAAGACAAGACUGACUAGUAUAGCUGGUUUUCCGCGAAACCUAUAUAAGUAGGCAAUUCAAAUAACAUCUUAGCAGGUACAGAACUGUAAUCUCAAACAACUUUAUUAAUAAAAUAAUAAUUUUGUAAUCAUCGGGGGAUUGUUGAAGGUUCUACCGGUGAGUAUCACAUCCGGAAGGGCAAUGAUGAAUAUUGAAUAAUCAGACAUAGUACGAUAAGGUUGUAUGUCUAAAGGGAAACAGCCCUAAACAAGAGUUAAUAAGGUUCCAAAAUUAUUAUUAAGUGAAAAUAAGGAAGUUAUUAUCAAACACGAUCAGGAAAUAGGCUUAGAAGCGGCCAUUUUUUGAAGAUCUCGUAACAGAGCACUGAUUUUGUAAACUCUAAAGUUUACACAGGUAACGGCACUUAAAAUUUAACGGAUCUAAAUAAUAUACCGAAACCUUGUCCAUAUAUAUCAAGAUAGAAAUUCUGCGCAACAAUAUAGCAAUAUAUCAAGUGUAAUAUUAUAUAUAUGGGGUAGCGGAACACUGGAUAAAUCUUAGACUUUUUCUUUUUAAGACUAUAUAUCAGAUAAUCCAGGUGAUAAUGCUGACAUGAGUAACGAAAAAGGGUGGCAUAAGCGUGCCCUCGCCUUAAGCUUAUGGAAUUUUAUUUAAAGUCACGGCCUCUAAGUUAAAAAAACCUAAAGGAAUUAACGAUGAGAAAUUUACACAUUGCAGAUAUAACCUUUGAAUAUGUGACAAGGGUUCUGGAAAAUAAAAUGUGUGGUUAUAGGUUUACUUUUUGCAUUAAAAAUAGAAAAAAGUAAUGUGGUGUACUAUUUAUAGUCCCCUAUAUACCCAGACCGUACCUAAAAACUAACACCAGUAAGCAAGUAGAGGAUACGAAGGCGUUUGAGUUAACAAUCAUUAAGGAACUCGGCAAAUUGACUUCCGUAACUUCGGGAUAAGGAGAGCCAUUCCUCCUGAUUAAUAUCAGGUAAAGAAUAGGAAGCAUAGAAUAGUGUUGUACGACUGUUUAAUUAAAACAAAGCACUCUGCAAAGAUAUUAAGUCAAAGUAUUGAGUGUGAUUUCUGCCCAAUGUCGGCUGGUUAACGGAUUUGCUUAAUUGACUAAUAUAGGUUAGGCUUUGAAGGAAACCCCGAUCAAUGGCGGCCUUAACGAUAAGGGUCCUAAGGUAGCGGAAUACCCUGGCCGUUAAAUGCGGUCUUGCAUGAAUGAUUUAACGAUACAACAGCUGUCUCAAUGAUUGGCUCAGUGAAAUUGGAAUAACUGUGCAGAUACAGUUUACCUCUAGUUAGACGAGAAGACCCUAUGCAGCUUUACUGUUACUAGUUAAGGGUAUAAUGUAGUUAUAGUUGUAGUGUAUAAGGAAAUUGUUAGAUAAAAUUGAAACACCUUUAUAGGAGGCGGUUUAUGCGGGGCACAGAUCCCAUAAAAAGUAACUGGGUGUAUCCAAAGUUAAAAUUGUAAACUUGCAAAUUGCAAUUAAACGUAUAAAAAGGUAAUUAUAUACCUCUUCAUACAUUUUUUAGAUUUAGUUUUUUAUUUAUUGUUUAUUAGAUAAUAAUAUUCAAUUUAUUCAGUUAUAUUUCUAUUAAAUUAGAUUUAUUAUUAUUUUUAAGUAAGAUUUUAACUAUAUGGUGAAUAGUUGUAACUUAAACAUUAAUUAUUUAUUAGUAAUGUUAUUUAUUAUAUCAUUAGUGUAUUUUAUUUUUUUUUAUUAUAACCACUAUGUAUAUAACCUUAAAUUUUACAAGAAAAGUUUAAUGGCUUAAUCUUGCUUUACUGUUUGACUUACACGUCUAUCAGUCGCGUAAGCGGGGCAUAUGAUCACAAGAUGCAUAAAGGAAAGGUCUUGGAUUUUUGAAAAAGUUACGCUAGGGAUAACAGGCUAAUUGCGCCAGAGAGUACAAAUUGAGUGCGCAGUUUGGCACCUCGAUGUCGGCUUAGCUCAUCCACAUGAACGCAGGAAUCAUGAAGGGUGCGACUGUUCGUCGAUUAAAGAGCUACACGAGCUGGGUUAAAUACGUCGUGAGACAGUAUGGUUUCUAUCUUCUAGAGGAAAUUAGAGUAAAAUAAGGAUAGCCCCUUCGUACGAAAGGAGUUGGGUAUAUUAACCUAUAGUUUACCUGUUGUUUAUGCAUAGGCAUGGCAGGAAGGCUACGUUAGUUAAAGAUAAGUGCUGAAUGCAUAUAGGCACAAAACUUACUUUAAGAUACUUUUAAAUAGACGUAGUUUAUCACUACGAAAAUAGUUGACUUAUUUUAUUAUUUUUAAUAAAGUAC
This 2800-nucleotide ribosomal RNA is filed under the name Mycocalicium subtile. Its description in RNAcentral is "LSU rRNA". It matches the Rfam family "Bacterial large subunit ribosomal RNA". Lineage: Eukaryota; Fungi; Ascomycota; Eurotiomycetes; Mycocaliciales; Mycocaliciaceae. The record is from RNAcentral.